Long non-coding RNA from Zonotrichia leucophrys gambelii, 2609 nucleotides. RefSeq lists it as uncharacterized. The record is from RefSeq and is a predicted model, not a curated record. The transcript has 3 exons. Lineage: Eukaryota; Metazoa; Chordata; Aves; Passeriformes; Passerellidae.
UUUUCUUGCAGUAUCUUGUGUGGCUGGAAUGGGCUGGUAAGUUUGCUUGGCGCAGUCUAAAGGAAGGCCUGACUAUUGGGAUGCUCAGGAAAGACCUGUCUUGGAAAGUCUUGUUGCUGUAUUCAAAGCAGUGUUCCCUGUGGAAACUUAGUGCAAACAAGGGAAAAAUGAGAUGCGGCUAUAACUGUUUACAAGAGAGAUCUACUGAGUGCAGAGAGAAGGAUGAUAUGGAGCAACUACAGUUAGGAGACCAAAAGGAAAGGAGCUGUUAAAGCAUCAGACAGAUAAACCCUCCCUGCUGUGAAGAGCAUCCUUCAUCCAUAGGUCAGUCUCAGCUGCUGCAGAGUUGUGCAUGGAACACCCAUGAGGCUCAGUGAGUGGUCUGACAACAGCUGAUUUCCAGUUGCUGGUAGUUUUUGUCAGAGGACUUAUUUACAGCUACCUGACUGGCAGAUCAUCUAACCUACACGUGAUCACUUUCUUCAAGAAUUCCUUCAUAUUGCAGAUAUUCACCAUUUUAAAAACACAAUAUUGAAUUAUACCACCUGGUUUCCUGCUAUUGUUAUCUAUUAUCAACAGCCCAGUACUACACUAUAGAAUGGUUAAAACAAUGGAUUAGACAAAUUUUGGGUAAGUUAAAUUUGCCAUCAGUUCAUCUACUAUUUUUGUGAAGUUGCAGAAACAGGGCAAAAGUCUUUUUUACAAACUUGGAAUAUUUUGAGCUAACUGACCUGAAGACAGGACAGCCAAAAGUUAAGAGAGAUGAGAGAAACCAAAUUUAACUGGAAUGGUUUAAUCCUGAAAAGUUUUGACUUCUUUCCUGAUAUGUGAGGGAGAUCCUUGAGAGAUUAGAUUCUGAAGCUGCUUUCAAGCUAGGACAGUGACUCCAAAUAGGCAAGGUAAAAUUAUAGCCCAAGAAUCAGAAGCUGUGAUGCUUUGCUACACAGAGGAUGCCUGCCAGCUCAGGUGUCACACAAAGCACCAAGAGGUCUGGCUCUUCUGCUGAGCCCAUUCCCUUGCAAGGAGGGGACUGGGUUACAUUGGCACUUUUUGUCAUCAGCCACAAGUGUAUUGGGUGGGAGGAGGGUUGUAUGCCAUACAUGGCCAUCGUCCCUGAUGGUAUAUAAAGACAGGACAGCCCUAUUAUUCUGUCAUAAGGAGCAACACAGAUAAUGUCACAACUGAUAAAUGUGUCCAACACCUGGUGAUAGAGCACACUCUUUCAGCACCUCCUCACUCAGAGAGCACAGCAGUUGCAACUCUUUUUACAAUCUUUAGAAUGAAUAUCACUGCUAAACAGUUUGCUGCUUUUGGUUUAGCUUUUGUGGGACAUGUAAUACUGGAGUCAAGAAUUAUCCAAAGAGAGGAGGUAAGUGAUAAAUCAUUCAAGACAACCACAGAGCAAAGGUUGUGAAGCUCCAGACAGUGUUGAAGAGAGCAUCCGCAGGAAUGGGUAUUAGAAGCAUUGAUUUCUCCAGCACAUCCAUAAGCCCUGCUGGUGGUACACUUGUUUUCAAAUCAGACCUUGCUGACAUCCAACCUGCUUGAUUCUGUGAAGUGAAGGUAGGUCAUCAGCCAUGGGUUGUGUACUCCCCUGUUGUAGUGCUUCACACUGGUUUCUCUGGAAACUUUCAGCAUCCCUGUGUUGGGUAAAUCUCUUACAUUCAACCCUAAAUUACCAUUUUAAAGUGUCUUGUAUGUAUUCAAGUGGAACAUACAGAGUUAUACAAGAUUAAAAACUCUCUUUUCAAUCACACCUAUGAGAUACAAAUUUGAUCACUCCCAAAGUUUGGCCCAUGUUAAGCUCUGAGGCUUUGGUGUGACACUAAUUGUAAGAAGAGGAUAAGGCUAAUUACAGCAGAGUAAACUGACCUAGUAAGAGAAACCUGAUCCUUUAAUCCUGUAAACAUACAGAUCAGUUAAUUGCUAACAUGGUUGUUCUUGUGGAGGGAGUGUUAGAUGGCUAUGAAAUCUCAAAGACUGUUCCAGUUUCACAGACAACAACUCAGAAAUGAAGCCACUUGUCCAGGGUCCUGGAGAAGGCAGUGUUUGAUUUAAUGGGCCUUUGGACUUGGGGCAGCUUUAGCUUGCAGAAAUGUUGCACAGCAGAAGUGGAGAGUCAGUGAUAUGACCUUCUAACAAAAAAGAAGGCAAAGGAAAAUGUGUUUUCAUUAUGAGAGAGAAGGUGAAAGACUGCCUUUAAAAACAUUUUUUGGUAAUAGACUCUUGCUUAUAGCAGAAGACAAGAACUUGUAGUUGUCUCAGAACACACAAAAAUCAGUUGUUGGUCAGAAUUGCUAUCUGCAGUAUUGAGCUGAAGAAGGCUAUUGGCCAGAUAAGCAUGUCCUUCCCCCUAAACUUAUACAUUGGGUUUAAUUAUUCCUUCCUUCUGUAAAUGUUUACUUUUAGCUUUACAAUGUUUAGGUAUAAUGCAUUCUUUGGGCAUAGGUGUUGUGGACUUCUUUGAGUUAAUAUUACUACAAAAGCAAGAGACUGCAAUUUCUGUUUGUUUUCAUAUAAUUAACAGAGAGCAGCAAAAAUAUUUAAACAAAAAUAUUCAAUUUUUAAUCAUACUUGAAAACUUCUUUUUGCAUGCAAAUACAUGUGAG